RNAcentral lists this long non-coding RNA (928 nucleotides) under Brassica rapa (field mustard). Its description in RNAcentral is "long non-coding RNA (BRAP_LNC004261)". Lineage: Eukaryota; Viridiplantae; Streptophyta; Magnoliopsida; Brassicales; Brassicaceae. The record is from RNAcentral.
UGACUUCUAUUCAUCCCUCAUCAUCAUUACAGCCUCACUUCUCUCUCUCUCUCUCUCUCUCUCUCUCUCUCUCCCUUCACUUUUGUUCCCCACCACAUCAUGAUGAUAAUGAUGAUGAUAAUUCAUCAUCUCCAUCUUCGUCGUCUUCUUCUCCUUCUUCUUUCUCUUCACCUCCCAAGUCCCAAUACCAAAGAAGAAGACAUAAUCACACAAACCCAAGAUCAAGAAUCCCAAGAAAAAGAAGAAGUUGUUGAUUAUCAUCAUCAUCAAGAUUUUAAGAUUAGGGUUUGCCUCAUCUCUCUCUACUUUUUCAUAUAGAUCGAUUCUUGAUCAUCAUCAUCAUAUAUCAUCAUCCACGUGUGCGUACGAGAUCCGAAAGGGGAAUCAAGCGUCUCGGUCCGAUCCUUCGCUGUUUUAAAGCGAUCUUCAUCUCGAUAAUAUCAUCAAAUCAAGUGUGUCUUUGUUACAUCUCUCUUUUCUUUAUGUGUGUCUUUUUAUUUUGACUACCUUUUGUGUUUUCUCUUGGCUUCACAACUACCUUUUGUUCUUCUAUUUGCUUCUUUUUCUCCUCUAGAUUUCUCUCUUACCACGAUGGUGUUUUCGUUUGGCUUAUUUAGAUUUAUGAAGCUACAUGUAUCACUAUGUUCUUUUUCAAAUUAUGUUCAAGAAGUUAAACUCCAUAUUAUAUGAUGGUUAUUUACAUUUUGGGAAAACUUCAGUUCCGAUGUAAUCAAUCGCUCGAAUCAUGAAUAAUACAACACAAGGUAAAUUAAAUCUUCGAUAUGGGAAGGUAUUUAACAGUUUAUCAUAGACUAUGAUAUACAAAUAAAAAUGUGUAUAUAAUAUGUGUAUAUGAUGAAUUUGUGUGUUGGGAUAGGGAUGUUGUUAACUACUGAUCCAUGUAAACACAAUAACCGUGGUGGAUGAU